AGUUCCUUUUACAGCUGUGUGGACGGCCACGUCGAUAGCGUUUUGUGGAGACGAUUGGAGCCGUGUGGCAGGGGCUGUUGAGGGGUAGUGAAGCAGAUUUGAAUCUCUAAGGUGUUAAGGCUUGCAUGUGAUGGGCUUAAGGUUUGGCCAUUUUUUUUUUUUCCUUUAUGGCAGGCUGUAGUUGGACUCCAGAUGGUAUUCCUAGAUGGAAUCGAGACUUCUGGAAUUGUUAAGCUCUUGCUCUGUAUCCAGGUGACUUGUUCAAUAUGUUUUUUUUGAGACGUGGAGGGACAAGAUGCAUGCCACAGAGCGACGGAGGAGGGGAGCGGAGCGCUGCGAGAAGGUGAUCACGGGGCACGAGGCGGUUGAAGGAACCUUGCGUUUAGGUGACGUGGCUGCUAUGGGCGUUGGACCGUGACAUGUGCGGAAGUCGGCAGUCUGUCAAGAAGAGCGGAGCUCGCUCAUUUUCUGCUUGGGAACAGGGAUCGUGGAGGUAAUGUCACCUCGGGGAGGAGAACUUCUGAACGUGAAGCGAUAGACGUAAUGGGAGCGAGGAAUGUGGAAAAGACCACUCUGUAGAGAAUCACAGGCACUAAAUAGUGGCGCUUCUUCUUAAGGUAAUGCUAAAUUUUUGGAGUUUAAAUGUAUUUGUAAAAAUAAUGAUUAAAAGGGGAAUAAAUGUAGUAGUGGCAAAUAUUUGACCAAUGAGGCCGUAACUAUUUUCUAUACAUCGUAGUAAAAGUACAUUGUAGAAUUGGACUGUAAAUACUGACGUAGCUGAACGUGCUUGGAGUCAGUAAUGGACCAAAUGAAACAAUAAAAAUAAAAUGAAAAAAAGACAGGUAAUUAGGUCUCCCCGUGAGAAUCACAGUACUAAUGGCGAUCGCAAAGGCAACUGCAGAGCGAAGUGUGCGCGUUUAGUGCCCGUAGGUAAACUUAGCUGUUAUAAGUAAGUGAAAGCGUCCGUUAGAAUUAGGCAUCCGAGGGAGAGUUGUAGAUACCUAGAGGUAAAUGUAGCUGCAGAUGGGUUAAUAGAAAGGGUGCGCAUUACUGGCUCUAGUAAUUGCACGGCUUUGAAAUUGGCUCUGUAGCUGCGUAACUGUGAAACGGGCUCGGUAACUGUGUAGCUUUGAAAUUUGCUCGGGUUCUGUGCGUCGCCGAAAUUUGCUCGGGUUCUGUGCAUCGCCGAAAUGGGCUCGGUCAAUGUGUAACUUUUCUCAAAGGGGCUGAGGCGCUGUGUAACUCUGAAAUGGGCUUGGUCACUGGAUAAUAUGUGUAUAACAUCUGGGGUUUUUUCAUUCUGUAUCUCACUGUCCCAGUUCUCCUUCCUGCUGUUCUCUUUCUCUGACCCUUUGUGGUGCUCCCUACUCUUUUUAUUCAUGUCUUCUGUCUCCCUGCAGGGUUCCUAAUACGACUCUUUCUCCAACCUCCUGUGCUUCUCAGUCUCUCUCUCUCUCGUCAUUAUUCUCGUCUGUCACUCUGUCUUACUUUCUGUCCCAUUGUAUCAUGUUGUAUCUGUCCCUCCUGCUUUUUUCUCCAUCUGUCCAGAUCCCUGUCCCUUUUUUCUUCUAUUGCUGUCCCUCUGCCCUGCUUCCUCUUGCUAUCUUUUCUUUCUCUCUCUGUCCCAUUCUCUCUUCCAUCCUUUCUAACUGUAUCCCCCUGUCCAGCUAGCUGCCCC
Molecule: long non-coding RNA, 1678 nt
Organism: Harpia harpyja (harpy eagle)
Lineage: Eukaryota; Metazoa; Chordata; Aves; Accipitriformes; Accipitridae
Exons: 3
Source: RefSeq, a predicted model, not a curated record